GAUGAACGCUGGCGGCGUGCCUAAUACAUGCAAGUCGAGCGAACAGACGAGGAGCUUGCUCCUCUGACGUUAGCGGCGGACGGGUGAGUAACACGUGGAUAACCUACCUAUAAGACUGGGAUAACUUCGGGAAACCGGAGCUAAUACCGGAUAAUAUAUUGAACCGCAUGGUUCAAUAGUGAAAGACGGUUUUGCUGUCACUUAUAGAUGGAUCCGCGCCGCAUUAGCUAGUUGGUAAGGUAACGGCUUACCAAGGCGACGAUGCGUAGCCGACCUGAGAGGGUGAUCGGCCACACUGGAACUGAGACACGGUCCUGGCUCCUACGGGAGGCAGCAGUAGGGAAUCUUCCGCAAUGGGCGGAAGCCUGACGGAGCAACGCCACGUGAGUGAUGAAGGUCUUCGGAUCGUAAAACUCUGUUAUUAGGGAAGAACAAAUGUGUAAGUAACUAUGCACGUCUUGACGGUACCUAAUCAGAAAGCCACGGCUAACUACGUG
RNAcentral lists this ribosomal RNA (497 nucleotides) under uncultured bacterium. RNAcentral's name for it is "partial 16S ribosomal RNA". It matches the Rfam family "Bacterial small subunit ribosomal RNA", at positions 28 to 507 of the family's 1533-position model. The record is from RNAcentral.